This 243-nucleotide long non-coding RNA is filed under the name Elaeis guineensis (African oil palm). Its description in RNAcentral is "long non-coding RNA (EGUI_LNC040975)". Lineage: Eukaryota; Viridiplantae; Streptophyta; Magnoliopsida; Arecales; Arecaceae. The record is from RNAcentral.
AGUAAAACAACCAGGAAUGUCUGUGUUGUAGAUUUUGAUAAAGAAAAGCACUAUACCAUGCUGCAAUAUAAUCUCAAUAAUUGAAGUAUUGAGGGUCAUAGUUUUAUGAAAAUCUUUUGAAAUUAUAGGGGUGAUUUCUCCAUGUGGUAGGUGUUAAAAUAGAGAGAAUUUGAACUGUUGAGUGGGUGAAAGUAUUUAUAUUAUGAUGUUUGUAAUGCUUAACAGCUAUAGAUUUUGUAUCUA